GGAGUUGUAGCUCAGUGAUAGAGCAUUUGCCUCGUACGUGUGAGGCACCGGGUUCGAUUCCCAGCACCA
RNAcentral lists this transfer RNA (69 nucleotides) under Ictidomys tridecemlineatus (thirteen-lined ground squirrel). Its description in RNAcentral is "Spermophilus tridecemlineatus (thirteen-lined ground squirrel) tRNA". It matches the Rfam family "tRNA". Rfam says of the family: Transfer RNA (tRNA) molecules are approximately 80 nucleotides in length. Their secondary structure includes four short double-helical elements and three loops (D, anti-codon, and T loops). Lineage: Eukaryota; Metazoa; Chordata; Mammalia; Rodentia; Sciuridae. The record is from Rfam by way of RNAcentral.